Molecule: non-coding RNA, 313 nt
Organism: Clarias gariepinus (North African catfish)
Lineage: Eukaryota; Metazoa; Chordata; Actinopteri; Siluriformes; Clariidae
Source: the annotation of a RefSeq genome assembly
AUGUUUAUAGUCAUAUAUGCUGCUCUCUUCUCUUUGCUCACAGAAGCUGUUCUAGGAGUGACUUUGGAGCAACAACAUCUCUCUGUGACAAAAGAGAAGGGCAAAAGUGUGUACAUCACCUGCAAAGUGACCAAAUUAACCAGAGAAUAUGUGCACUGGUACCAAAAGAAAGAUGGAGAAGCUUUUACAAGGACCCUGUAUGUUAAAAAACAUAGCAAAUGCAUUGACGUGAGGAUACAGUCUGAUAAUUAUAAUCUAAAGAUAACAAAACUGAGUAGAAACCACUUAGCAGUUAAUUACUGCGCCAGCUAGG